This is a small nucleolar RNA of Acomys russatus (golden spiny mouse), 90 nucleotides long. RefSeq annotates it as small nucleolar RNA SNORD91 family. NCBI's taxonomy places the organism in Eukaryota, Metazoa, Chordata, Mammalia, Rodentia, Muridae. The record is from RefSeq and is a predicted model, not a curated record. The transcript has a single exon.
CUUGGGAGCCAGUGAUGUUUUAUCUUACUGUCUGAACCUGUCUGAAGCAUCCUAGUGAUGCAAGCUGUGUGUGCUGGGGCCUCUCUGCUA